Molecule: ribosomal RNA, 512 nt
Filed under: uncultured bacterium
Lineage: Bacteria
Description: bacterial SSU rRNA
Rfam family: Bacterial small subunit ribosomal RNA
Source: RNAcentral
GACGAACGCUGGCGGCGUGCUUAACACAUGCAAGUGGAGCGACGAAGCGGGCUUCGGCCCGUGGCAGAGCCGCGAACGGGUGAGUAACACGUGGGUAACCUACCCCGAUGACCGGGACAACCCGAGGAAACUCGAGCUAAUACCGGAUGUUCUCGCUUCUCGUAAGGGAAUCGAGCAAAGAUAGCUUCGGCCUUCGCAUCGGGACGGGCCCGCGGCCCAUUAGCUUGUUGGUGGGGUAAUGGCCUACCAAGGCUUCGAUGGGUAGCUGGUCUGAGAGGACGAUCAGCCACACUGGGACUGAGACACGGCCCAGACUCCUACGGGAGGCAGCAGUGGGGAAUCUUGCGCAAUGCGCGAAAGCGUGACGCAGCAACGCCGCGUGGGGGAAGAAGGCCUUCGGGUUGUAAACCCCUUUCAGUUGGGACGAAGCUUCGUCGGUUAAUAGCCGGCUGGAGUGACGGUACCUUCAGAAGAAGCCCCGGCUAACUACGUGCCAGCCGCCGCCGUAACAC